Molecule: long non-coding RNA, 713 nt
Organism: Daktulosphaira vitifoliae (grape phylloxera)
Lineage: Eukaryota; Metazoa; Arthropoda; Insecta; Hemiptera; Phylloxeridae
Exons: 3
Source: RefSeq, a predicted model, not a curated record
UUUUGCACGAUAAAUGGGACCCGUGGGUAAUAAUGGUUAUGAGAUAGUAAAAUAAAAUUUUAUACCACAUAAAUGUGGUAUAAUAGUUCUUAAUUGUGACUGUGUACAAAGUAUAAUUUCGCUUUAGUUUAAAAAGAGAUAUACUACAUCACUCACAUUAUCACAUUUUUAAAAAAAUUAACUUGAAAAAACCAUUGGAUAUUUUUUUAAUACAGACAAUUUAUGUUAAUUGGAUAAUCAAGUAUUAAAUGUGUUUACAAAAGUGGAUUUUAGUUUAAGUACUCCGACGGAUUAACUGAUUGUAUCGUUUAAAAAACAAUAUGAAUAUAAUUAUAUUUACACAACAAUUGAACUGUAGUAAGCUAUGAAAGUAUCGCAACAGUUAUUCUUUUUUAAAAUUGUCUUAUCAACUGGAUGUGUCAUCGAGACAGGAAGUUUAAAAUUGAUUUGUUCUCUACGCGAGCCAUUUGUUAAAUUAUAUCAGUAAACGAUACCAUAAAAAUCAUUGUGCUCGUGUUGUCUGUAAACUUUAUAUAAUCUGUCAGUCUCAUUCACUUCAAUUGAUAAUGAAACUCGGCAAAAACCACUAAAUUGUGUCCGGGACGUAAAUCAGAUUUUAGUAAAAUAAAAUGAUGAAUAUUUAAUAGAAAUAUAAGUUUAAAAUAUUAAUUACACUAUUUAAUAAUCAAUUGUAAUGAAAUAUUAGAAAUAAA